CCUACGGUGCGCAGCAGUGGGGAAUAUUUGGCAAUGGACGCAAGUCUGACCCAGCAACGCCGCGUGAAGGCAGAAGGCUUUCUGGUUGUAAACUUCUUUUAAGGGGGAAGAUCAGAAGACGGUACCCCUUGAAUAAGCCACGGCUAACUACGUGCCAGCAGCCGCGGUAAUACGUAGGUGGCAAGCGUUUUCCGGAUUUACUGGGUGUAAAGGGCGUGCAGCCGGAGAGACAAGUCAGAUGUGAAAUCCACGGGCUCAACCCGUGAACUGAAUUUGAAACUGUUUCCCUUGAGUGUCGGAGAGGGAAUCGGAAUUCCUAGUGUAGCGGUGAAAUGCGGAGAUAUUAGGAAGAACACCAGUGGCGAAGGCGGAUUACUGGACGAUAACUGACGGUGAGGCGCGAAAGCGUGGGGAGCAAACAGGAUUAGAUACCCUUGUAGUC
RNAcentral lists this ribosomal RNA (442 nucleotides) under uncultured bacterium. RNAcentral's name for it is "partial 16S ribosomal RNA". It matches the Rfam family "Bacterial small subunit ribosomal RNA", at positions 338 to 795 of the family's 1533-position model. The record is from RNAcentral.